CCUACGGGUGGCAGCAGUGAGGAAUAUUGGUCAAUGGACGAGAGUCUGAACCAGCCAAGUAGCGUGAAGGAUGACUGCCCUAUGGGUUGUAAACUUCUUUUAUAUGGGAAUAAAACGUUCCACGUGUGGGAUUUUGUAUGUACCAUAUGAAUAAGGAUCGGCUAACUCCGUGCCAGCAGCCGCGGUAAUACGGAGGAUCCGAGCGUUAUCCGGAUUUAUUGGGUUUAAAGGGAGCGUAGGUGGAUUGUUAAGUCAGUUGUGAAAGUUUGCGGCUCAACCGUAAAAUUGCAGUUGAAACUGGCAGUCUUGAGUACAGUAGAGGUGGGCGGAAUUCGUGGUGUAGCGGUGAAAUGCUUAGAUAUCACGAAGAAUUCAGAUUGCGAAGGCAGUUCACUGGACUGCAACUGACACUGAGGCUCGAAAGUGUGGGUAUCAAACAGGAUUAGAUACCCGAGUAGUC
Molecule: ribosomal RNA, 460 nt
Filed under: uncultured bacterium
Lineage: Bacteria
Description: partial 16S ribosomal RNA
Rfam family: Bacterial small subunit ribosomal RNA
Source: RNAcentral